Molecule: ribosomal RNA, 497 nt
Filed under: uncultured bacterium
Lineage: Bacteria
Description: partial 16S ribosomal RNA
Rfam family: Bacterial small subunit ribosomal RNA
Source: RNAcentral
GACGAACGCUGGCGGCGUGCCUAAUACAUGCAAGUUGAGCGCUGAAGGUUGGUACUUGUACCAACUGGAUGAGCAGCGAACGGGUGAGUAACGCGUGGGGAAUCUGCCUUUGAGCGGGGGACAACAUUUGGAAACGAAUGCUAAUACCGCAUAAAAACUUUAAACACAAGUUUUAAGUUUGAAAGAUGCAAUUGCCUCACUCAAAGAUGAUCCCGCGUUGUAUUAGCUAGUUGGUGAGGUAAAGGCUCACCAAGGCGAUGAUACAUAGCCGACCUGAGAGGGUUAUCGGCCACAUUGGGAAUGAGACACGGCCCAAACUCCUACGGGAGGCAGCAGUAGGGAAUCUUCGGCAAUGGACGAAAGUCUGACCGAGCAACGCCGCGUGAGUGAAGAAGGGUUUCGGAUCGUAAAACUCUGUUGGUAGAGAAGAACGUUGGUGAGAGUGGAAAGCUCAUCAAGUGACGGUAACUACACAGAAAGGGACGGCUAACUACGUG